RNAcentral lists this ribosomal RNA (492 nucleotides) under uncultured bacterium. Its description in RNAcentral is "partial 16S ribosomal RNA". It matches the Rfam family "Bacterial small subunit ribosomal RNA", at positions 29 to 507 of the family's 1533-position model. The record is from RNAcentral.
AGUGAACGCUGGCGGUAGGCCUAACACAUGCAAGUCGAACGGCAGCACAGUAAGAGCUUGCUCUUACGGGUGGCGAGUGGCGGACGGGUGAGGAAUACAUCGGAAUCUACUUUUUCGUGGGGGAUAACGUAGGGAAACUUACGCUAAUACCGCAUACGACCUACGGGUGAAAGCAGGGGAUCUUCGGACCUUGCGCGAUUGAAUGAGCCGAUGUCGGAUUAGCCAGUUGGCGGGGUAAAGGCCCACCAAGGCGACGAUCCGUAGCUGGUCUGAGAGGAUGAUCAGCCACACUGGAACUGAGACACGGUCCAGACUCCUACGGGAGGCAGCAGUGGGGAAUAUUGGACAAUGGGCGCAAGCCUGAUCCAGCCAUACCGCGUGGGUGAAGAAGGCCUUCGGGUUGUAAAGCCCUUUUGUUGGGAAAGAAAAGCAGCAGGUUAAUACCCCGCUGUUCUGACGGUACCCAAAGAAUAAGCACCGGCUAACUUGGUG